CUCCCUAAAUGUGCCCAUCUCUGUUAAUUAGAGAGGCAGUCUCCAACAUAGUUAUUUAAAUCGGACCAGCGGUUCGACCGGUAAAAGACUGAAACCAGGGCCUCGGUUGGUCCAGUUCUGUAACGCCCAAAAAUUUGUUUUUAAUAAAUAGAAUUUAAUUUGAUUUAUUUAAAUAUUUUUGUGGGCAUUUAAUCUAGUAAAUAAAAUAUUUUUGUCAAAAUUAAAAUUCAUUAUAAGUUUAGUAAACUUGUUUGUGCAUUCAUGCUGAAGGAUAUUUUAUUUUUGUGCUAAUUUCUUUUGGUUGGAAUUUGGUUGCUCUCAAAAAUUCUAUUUUAAAAAGCUUUAGAAAACAGAAAAGAAAAAUAGAAAAAAAAAUAAAGGAAAAACCCCAGCCAGCGCCCAGCCCAACUACCGCUCAGCCCAGCACCCCUCUCCCCUCUUUCUCCCCCCCUCGCUCGGCCCACUCCUCCUCCCCGGCCAAGCAGUUCCCGCGGCCCAGGCGCGUGCACACUCCCUUUCCCCCCCUCUCCUUGGCCCGCUGACGACUGGGGCCCACUCGUCAGCCGCGCCCCUUUCCCCUUCCUCCAGCCGUCACCGAGAUGGACUCUUCCCUGGCUGAAUCAAUCCCGCAAUCGGCGGAAUUUCCUUGCCAAAGGAGUCAAAUCGAGUCCUAUAAAGCUCUUCCCCACCCGCAGUUCCCUUUUCCGCGUCCAAGCUGUCCAAACCGAGUCUUAGCCCCGUAUACCGCGAGUUUCGGAUCUUGCCGGAGAUAUCCUCCGCCACGCCGAGCACCAAGCCACCCUCGCACCCUCCCGGCUCA
This 820-nucleotide long non-coding RNA is filed under the name Sorghum bicolor (sorghum). RNAcentral describes it as "long non-coding RNA (SBIC_LNC002011)". The record is from RNAcentral. Lineage: Eukaryota; Viridiplantae; Streptophyta; Magnoliopsida; Poales; Poaceae.